RNAcentral lists this unclassified non-coding RNA (188 nucleotides) under uncultured Ascomycota. RNAcentral's name for it is "sequence contains ITS2". The record is from RNAcentral. Lineage: Eukaryota; Fungi; Ascomycota.
AACCUCCAUGCCCCCCAGAGCCCUGCUUUGGGCGGCGUCUUGGGCCUCAGUUGUCGCGGGGAUUGGGCGUCUGCCUGUCCCCGUGUGGCCUUGAAGAGAUUGGCAUCCGUCCGUGGGCGUAAGAUCCGUUAGGACUGACGAGCCCUUGUGGAUGGAGACAUUGCUAGAGUGCGCUUCUGCGCUGAACA